Molecule: long non-coding RNA, 4349 nt
Filed under: Homo sapiens (human)
Lineage: Eukaryota; Metazoa; Chordata; Mammalia; Primates; Hominidae
Description: HSALNT0053952
Source: RNAcentral
CUUUGGUGCCCAGAGCUAUGAAAGGUCACAGAGGCCCAAAUUCCUGCCCCAGGGAACACAUGAUCACUUUCUAUUAGAGGACUGUUAACUAACUUGGGGACCAUAUUUCAAAACUGUCACAUGGAGAUUUAGGGAAAACCUCCUGGAAGAAGUGGCUUGGCUAAGUUUUGAAAAGUGCAUAGGGGUGAGAACAGGGAGAGAAGAGGAAAGAGGACAUGCUGUGGAGGGGCCAGCAAACGAGAAACUCAGGAGGCAGAAAAUCUCAGGUCUGAUUCAAAGGACUCUGGCUCAAGAGGGGAAAGUGUGUGCUAAGAUGGGUGGUGGGAAAGGCAGAGGAGGGAGGCAAAGGUCUUUGUGUGUUAAGCUAUAGAAUUUGAAAUUAGUGUUGAAUGCAGAAAUAAUGAAAGAUUUUAAGCAGGGGAAUAAGGUCAUUGGUGGAUUCACUAGGAUGCUCUUGGCUGCCAGUAACAGAGCACAUGACUAAAGUGGCUUACAUAGAGGGAGGCUGAUAAUUUCUGUUAGGAAGGUAGUUCUAGGGCUGAUGCAGCAAAUUCUACCAGCCUCAGCACCUCUGUGGCAUCAUUCCUCAUAAUUACAAGGUAGCUGCUAUGGCUCCAAGCAUCAUGGCUUUAUUACAGCAUGCAAAACAGGAAACAAGGAUACACAUAUCUAUACCGGUGGCUCUCAUUGGGUGCAAUUUUGCCACGUCUGAAAGCAUUUUUGGUUAUCACAACUUGGGAGCAGCUGCUGGCAUCUAAAAAUGAAAAUCAUGGUAUUCCAGAGACUGGCGAUGAUGGAGCAAACAACAGCAGCUAUAACCAUUGAGAGGUUUGGUUUGCACACCCACAGCAAGGAAAAUCAGCACCCAGAGGAUGCAUCUGUGAAGAGUCAAGGCAGCAUCUGCUAAAAACAGCUGGUGAAGGGGCUUCUGGGGCUGGAGCCUGGAGACAUCAGAAGAAGCUCCGUGAGGAACACGGGGAGAGUCAGCUGUGAAGUUUGGCAGCUCAGAAGCCUUCCUAAUGGGAGAGUGGCAAGGUUCCAUUGAAGAUGGGCAUGUGGGAUGGGAGAAGUCGCUGUGGUCAUUUUUGGAAAAUACAGUCUCUCAUAAAGGACCAGAGUAAUCUCCCAUAUUUGAAGGCCUGUAUUGAGUCAUGAUUGAAUAUUUUACUAUCUAAGUUAAAUAAUCUAAUUCCAAAGGGUCAAAGACAAUUUAGAGUUUGAUAGAACCUUGAAGAUGCUCUGGUUUAGUCAUUGGAUUGUAAGAUGAAAAACCCUGAGCUCUCAAGAGUUGAAAUGGCUUGCCCAGUUUACCUAGCUGGCCAGAGGCACAGCCUCAUGGAGAAUCCCAGGCUCCUGCUCCCCCUUGCUCCAGCCCACCCUUGGGGAACUCUGAUGGUCGCCUCACUGGAAUCACCCCCCUUCUUUCUUCCAACAGGCUGAUUUUGUUCAGGUAUUCACCCUGCCCAAAUGGCUUAUGUGCUCCAAGGGAAGCUGACCGUGCCAUGUUGCUCUACCUAUAGCCAAGGCCAGCAUGGCAGGAGCAGCUUGCCGCCAGUCUGCAGCAGUGGAAACCUCCACCCCGAGAGCCACAAAGUCAAUACUGUCAGUGGAAAACAGAGCUGGGGCCACUGGAUUAGGUUGGCACAGGCCUGCUCUGCUGAACUUCCCAUUUUGUGAAUUAACUGUCUCCUUAGUAUUCAAGCCACUUUAAGUUCAGUUUUCUGUUACUUGCAGCUGAAAGAACCCUCAAGAAAGUAUUCCUAUUUCUGGGAUUAAUCCUGACUUUGGGAAGGGGAAUUUAAGGAGAUUUAGCUCAAUACUAUAGGUCUAUGCAUCAGGCAUUGACAGUGUGCCCCUGACCUUAGCCUGGUUUCUGAGAACUUGGAUUUUCUCUCAUUCUCUUGAUUCAAAUCUCUACCUGAGAGCAGCUCCGUCCCUCCAGAACCCAUUCUUGGUACUCUUGUCACUCUCAGUUGCUGCUCAGGGCUGGAGUCCUCUCUGCUUCCAAAAUUUCACGCUGAUGGCUAUAGCCUUGUAACCCACUGUUGUCCCAGGUGCCUUCUCACCUGCUGCUUAUCCUCCUGGAUUUCAGAGAAUCACUACUCCUGGAGUCUUCUUUGUUGAGUGCUGAAUUCUGCCCCUCUUAGCAUAUGUCUGGUUGGGCCCAAGUGCUAUAUGCUCAUCUGUUUUUUUGUCUAUUACUGUCUUAAUCUGUUUUGUGCUUUUAUAACAGAAUACCACAGACUGGGUAACUUAUAAUGAACAGAAAUUUAUUGGCUCAUAAUUCCAGAGCCUGGGAAGUCCAAAUCAAGUCAUCUGAAACAAUAUCUGCUCUUGGAGUCACUGCCACCAAGGGAAUAACUUUACCUGGAAUAUGGACUGGGAGCUCAAGCCAAAAGCAUGGACAAGGGAGUCCCAGAUUACAGGAUACUAUUAUGACUUUUGCAUAAAUAUAAACUCCUAUUAGAUAAAUUGAUAAGAUGUGCUCUGGUUAGCUAUUGCUGUGUAACAAACCACCCCAAACAGUGGUUUAAAGCAAUGACAUUCUAGGGUUGGCUGGGCUCAGCCAGGUGGUUCUUAUGUGGUCUAUCAUUAAGGUGCAAAAAGAUAGUGGCUGGGUUAGGGCCAUUCUGAAGAGUUAUUCACUCACAGGUCUAGAACCUGGGCUGAAGGACUCAAACAGCUGGAGGAUCUAUCUAUCUAUCUAUCUAUCUAUCUAUCUAUCUAUCUAUCUAUCAUCUUCUAUCUAUCUAUCUAUCAUUAUCUUUCAAUCUCCUCCAUAUGAUCUCUCCCCAAAGUGGCUCCAGGGUAACCAGACUUCUUACAUGACAGCUGGAGCCUUGGAGUAAGUUUCCUAAAGAGACACUGGUAGAAGCUGCAUGAUCUUUUCUAAUCUGACUUCAGAAGUCACACUUCUACUACAUUCUGUUCAUUAAUGCAGCCACAAGGGCCCGCCCAAGUUCAAGAGGUGAGGAUACUGACUCUGUCUCUUAAUGUGCAGAGUGUCAAAUAAUUUACAAGCACGUUUCAAAAACCACCAGAAGUUGCAAGAAUGAAUCAGUUAGUGUUGAUGAAUAUCAAUAUAAUAUAGUUACAAAAUGAAUUAUUGCAAGAUUUAAAAUUUGCAAACUCUGAUAGUCACCUAGUGACCAUCUCACCAAGCAUUUCUAGAGGUGCCCACCACUUGAUUUCCAGCCUAGGUGCUGCCCUGGCCUAAGCAGAGACCCCAGUUAUACAUUGGAGUAGGCAAUGGAGAGUCAAGAUGACCUGAUUCUGUCAUGCUGAGUCAUAUGACCUUUGAUAUAUCACUUUAACUUACUGGGCCUCAUGUUUCUCCUGCAUAGUGGAGAUACUAGCCUUGCCUUACCUAUGUUGAAGAAUUGUGAUGAGACUCAAAUAAGAAUGUACUUUAUAACUGCAAAGUGUUCUACAAAGGAAGAGAAUGCUCCCUCCUGUUUCUUGCCUCUUCUGAACACUGGUGAAGCCAUGAGGCCUUAAGAACCUUGUCACAUUAAAGGUUAACCCUCCAGGAAUCUUCUGUUACACAUUUCUUCCCAAUAGCCCUGGGUUCUCAUGGUGUCCACUGGCGCCUAUUUACUGGGUUCUUCUGGGAGGGAUGGAGUGUUUGGCUUUUCCCCACGUGGCUUGACUGCUGGCAAUCACCUCUGUGUGCUUUUUUUUUUUUUUUUUUUUUUUUUUUUUUAUGGAGUCUUGCUCUGUAGUCCAGGCUGGAGUGCAGUGGCAUGAUCUCAGCUCACUGCAACCUCUGCCGCCUGGGUCCCGGUUCAAGCAAUUCUGCCUCAGCCUCCUGAGUAGCUGGGAUUACAGGCACGUGCCACCAUGCCCAGCUAAUUUUUGUAUUUUUAAUAGAGACAGGGUUUCACCAUGUUGGCCAGGCUGGUCUUGAACUCUUGAUCUCGUGAUCUGCUUGCCUCAGCUGCCAAAGUGCUGCGAUUAUAGGCAUGAGCCACCGCGCCUGGCCCUGUGUGCUCUUUAUUAUGGGAUGGCUUUUCCAGUCCACAGGGAGGAUCUUCCCUACAACUGACAGCAUAAGGCUGGGUUCAAGGGGUGAAAUGGACAGUGCUUUGGGACCUGGUGGCAGAAAAGCUAAUGUGAAACUGACAGAAGAGAAAUUUAUUUACCAACUCUCCAAUCUACACCUCCAACACAGACUUGCUUUUCUUUUAAAGGACCCAAGUUUGCUUCUUUUCAAAACAUUAAAAAUAUUUAGUCAGAGACAGUUCAGCCUCUCAGUGCUUCCUCUUUAGCAGAGAAGAUCCAGAAACACCUGUCACAGGCACAACCUAUGGAUUUAUUUAUUUAUUUAUUUAUUUAUUUAUUUAUUUAUU